AGAAUCCAAAGAAGAACGAGGAAAAGAAAAAGUUGCAGAAUAGUCCUUAAAUUUCAAUAUCUUCUACAAAUUAGCCGGAUUGACUUGAAGUGAAGUGGGUAGAUCGGAUCAACACAACAAAGCACACUAUCCAGAUCAAUUCCGGUAGCUUUUGUUUUAUGUUUGAAGAUUUAUAUGGCAUGUAUAGAGUUUAAAUGAAAUGAAGUAAAGAUGUUAUAAACUAGUUAACAACAUUUUGUACUAAAACAGUUUUUGGUUAGUAGCAGUAGUUUGAGUUUGAAAA
Gossypium arboreum is the source of this 283-nucleotide long non-coding RNA. RefSeq lists it as uncharacterized. NCBI's taxonomy places the organism in Eukaryota, Viridiplantae, Streptophyta, Magnoliopsida, Malvales, Malvaceae. The record is from RefSeq and is a predicted model, not a curated record. The transcript is spliced from 2 exons.